GACGUGGCGCAGUUUGGUAGCGCGCCUGCUUUGGGAGCAGGAUGUCGCAGGUUCGAAUCCUGUCGUC
RNAcentral lists this transfer RNA (67 nucleotides) under Cryptobacterium curtum. It matches the Rfam family "tRNA". Rfam says of the family: Transfer RNA (tRNA) molecules are approximately 80 nucleotides in length. Their secondary structure includes four short double-helical elements and three loops (D, anti-codon, and T loops). Lineage: Bacteria; Bacillati; Actinomycetota; Coriobacteriia; Eggerthellales; Eggerthellaceae. RNAcentral also lists the same sequence under 10 other names. The record is from RNAcentral.